CAGGCCUAACACAUGCAAGUCGAGCGGACCAUUCCUUCGGGGAUGGUUAGCGGCGGACGGGUGAGUAACACGUAGGCAACCUGCCUGUAAGAUCGGGAUAACUACCGGAAACGGUAGCUAAGACCGGAUAGCUGGUUUCCCCGCAUGGGGGGAUCAUGAAACACGGGGCAACCUGUGGCUUACGGAUGGGCCUGCGGCGCAUUAGCUAGUUGGUGGGGUAACGGCCCACCAAGGCGACGAUGCGUAGCCGACCUGAGAGGGUGAUCGGCCACACUGGGACUGAGACACGGCCCAGACUCCUACGGGAGGCAGCAGUAGGGAAUCUUCCGCAAUGGGCGCAAGCCUGACGGAGCAACGCCGCGUGAGUGAUGAAGGUUUUCGGAUCGUAAAGCUCUGUUGCCAAGGAAGAACGCCUCGGAGAGUAACUGCUCUGAGGGUGACGGUACUUGAGAAGAAAGCCCCGGCUAACUACGUGCCAGCAGCCGCGGUAAUACGUAGGGGGCAAGCGUUGUCCGGAAUUAUUGGGCGUAAAGCGCGCGCAGGCGGUCUUUUAAGUUUGGUGUUUAAGCCCGGGGCUCAACCCCGGUUCGCACUGAAAACUGGGAGACUUGAGUGCAGGAGAGGAAAGCGGAAUUCCACGUGUAGCGGUGAAAUGCGUAGAGAUGUGGAGGAACACCAGUGGCGAAGGCGGCUUUCUGGACUGUAACUGACGCUGAGGCGCGAAAGCGUGGGGAGCAAACAGGAUUAGAU
This 750-nucleotide ribosomal RNA is filed under the name uncultured bacterium. Its description in RNAcentral is "bacterial SSU rRNA". It matches the Rfam family "Bacterial small subunit ribosomal RNA", at positions 43 to 783 of the family's 1533-position model. The record is from RNAcentral.